RNAcentral lists this ribosomal RNA (414 nucleotides) under uncultured bacterium. RNAcentral describes it as "bacterial SSU rRNA". It matches the Rfam family "Bacterial small subunit ribosomal RNA", at positions 917 to 1341 of the family's 1533-position model. The record is from RNAcentral.
GGACCCGCACAAGCGGUGGAGUAUGUGGUUUAAUUCGAUGCAACACGAAGAACCUUACCAGGGUUUGAAAUCAUUUCAAAACUCCUUGAAAGAGGAGCCUCCUUCGGGAUGAAAUGACAGGUGGUGCAUGGCUGUCGUCAGCUCGUGUUGUGAAAUGUCGAGUUAAGUCUCGUAACGAGCGCAACCCAUGUCUCUUGUUGCUCACUGAGUGCUUAAGAGAGACUGCCGACCAACAUCGGAGGAAGGUGUGGAUGAUGUCAAGUCAGCAUGCCCCUUACAUCCUGGGCUACACACGUACUACAAUGGUAAGGACAAUGAGCUGCGAUCCUGCGAAGGCUAGCCAAUCUCAAAAACCUUAUCUCAGUUCGGAUUGCACUCUGCAACUCGAGUGCAUGAAGGUGGAAUCGCUAGUAA